AGAGUUUGAUCAUGGCUCAGAUUGAACGCUGGCGGCAGGCCUAACACAUGCAAGUCGAGCGGUAGAGAGAAGCUUGCUUCUCUUGAGAGCGGCGGACGGGUGAGUAAUGCCUUGGAAUCUGCCUGGUAGUGGGGGAUAACGUUCGGAAACGGACGCUAAUACCGCAUACGUCCUACGGGAGAAAGCUGGGGACCUUCGGGCCUUGCGCUAUCAGAUGAGCCUAGGUCGGAUUAGCUAGUUGGUGAGGUAAUGGCUCACCAAGGCGACGAUCCGUAACUGGUCUGAGAGGAUGAUCAGUCACACUGGAACUGAGACACGGUCCAGACUCCUACGGGAGGCAGCAGUGGGGAAUAUUGGACAAUGGGCGAAAGCCUGAUCCAGCCAUGCCGCGUGUGUGAAGAAGGUCUUCGGAUUGUAAAGCACUUUAAGUUGGGAGGAAGGGUUGUAGAUUAAUACUCUGCAAUUUUGACGUUACCGACAGAAUAAGCACCGGCUAACUCUGUGCCAGCAGCCGCGGUAAUACAGAGGGUGCAAGCGUUAAUCGGAAUUACUGGGCGUAAAGCGCGCGUAGGUGGUUUGUUAAGUUGGAUGUGAAAUCCCCGGGCUCAACCUGGGAACUGCAUUCAAAACUGACUGACUAGAGUAUGGUAGAGGGUGGUGGAAUUUCCUGUGUAGCGGUGAAAUGCGUAGAUAUAGGAAGGAACACCAGUGGCGAAGGCGACCACCUGGACUAAUACUGACACUGAGGUGCGAAAGCGUGGGGAGCAAACAGGAUUAGAUACCCUGGUAGUCC
This 793-nucleotide ribosomal RNA is filed under the name uncultured bacterium. RNAcentral describes it as "bacterial SSU rRNA". It matches the Rfam family "Bacterial small subunit ribosomal RNA", at positions 8 to 796 of the family's 1533-position model. The record is from RNAcentral.